CUCCCACUGGCUCCCUCCCACAACAUGUGGGGAUUAUUAUAAUUCACGGUGAGAUCUGGGUGGGGACACAGAGCCAAACCAUAUCAAUAGGCAUAGUAACAUAGAUUACAAAUUCGAUGGGAAACUAUUAAGACAGUUGUGUGCAUGGCAAUAAAAAUAUCUUUUCUGACUACUUCAUUAAGAGCAGACCAUGAGGACAGUGGGGUGGGGGGCGGGAGGCAGGAAGGGAGCAAGAGUGGAAACAUAGAAUCCCUUUAGAAAGCUUUUUGUAGUUGUCACUAAAAAAUUCCCCAGCUCUGUGGAGCCAGAAUCUCCCAGUCUUCUGGUUAUUCAUAAAUGAAGAAUCUUUUAGCAGAUUUAUAUGACUUCGGUCAGAGUUGUCUGAAAGUAGGCAUCUGAUAGUAAUGGCAUGAAUCCAAAAAAUCUACGGCCGAAGAUGACUGAGAAAACUCAUACGUCUUAUUUUAAGGUAAAGAGGAAAAAAAGGUGUAAAGGAGAUGAUUAUGGAAAAAUAACUUCUUCCAAAAAAAGCCUCUGAGAAUUGAAGCCAUCCAAAGAACCAAAGAAAUUCUUCCUCCUGCACUACUACCUCAAGCAUAAAUGGUGUUUGAUUAAAACAUUGUCUGUUUAAUGUAGCAGUCUAUUAGCUAUUGGACCCUGUUUAUAUCACCAAGCUAAAUACACUAAGCCUACUUGUGAUAACGAGUAACUUAGAAUAUGUAAUGUUUUGCUAUUUUUUUGUUUUGUUUUUAUAUUCUAACAGGUGCUAAUAUUUUUCUGAAAAAAGAUAUUUUUAAGUAAUCAUUUUAUUUACAGUAUAACAUACAUACCAGCUCAAUAAUUAUUCACCCAUUCUAAGUAGCUUCAAAUUAAAAAAAAUAUAUUAGCAGCAUCUCAGAAAGUCUCACUUUCCACUCUGUCACUAACCCCUCCAAAAGUAAUCACUGCCUUAACUUAUAACGUUCAAAAUCAUGUUGUUGCGUGUAGCAAUAUAACAUCUUUUAUUCUUAUUGUUUUAUAAUAAUAUACUGUAAAAAUAUUCCAUACUGUAUUUAAAUAAGUUAUUUAAUUAUCCUGUUAAGUUACUUCCUGUAUUUACCUCUUAUGAAUAAUACAGCUGUGAACAUUCUUUUAAAGAUUUUUUGAUGAACUGCUACGUAUAUUUCCUUUGGACAUAUAUCCAGGAGUGGAACUGGUGUGUCAAAGUGUACACAUGAUAAACUUUAGUAUAUAUUGCUAAGGUUAAAGCUGGUUACAAGAGUGAUUUCAAUAGUGUUUUGCCAUUUGGGCUCCACUGCGGUGUAAAAAAAUCCCAGUGUGCCAAAUUCUUAUGAUAUUUGGUACUGUAAGUCCUUUAAUUGCAAUGCUAUUCUGAUGUAUAUAUAAUGGUUAUUUAUUUGCAAUUUAAAGUUUUAUCUCCCUGAUGACAAAUAAGAAUAAGUUAUUUUUCCUAUAUUUAUUGGCUAUGUAGAUAUCUUCCUUUAUAAGGUGACAUUUUAAGUUGUUUAACAAUUUUUCUAUUGGGUGAUCUUUCUUUUUUUACUGAUUUAAGUUUUUCAUCAUUUUAAAAAAAUGAGUCCUUUAUCCUAUCUCUGUGAGUUAAACGUUCACUAUUUUAAGGGUGUUGUUCAAUAAACAGAAAGUCUUAAUAUUAAAUGUAGCACAAUUAAUCUUUUUUUUCCUCUUUACAGCUAGUAUUUUUGUGUCCUGUUUAAAAAAAACCUUGUAUACCUCAAAGUCAUGAUGAUACUCUGUUGUGUUUUUUUAUAGAAGGUUGAUUGGUUUCUCUUUCACAGAUCACUGAUCCAGUUAGAAAUCAUAUGUCUUUACGGUAUGAAAUAUAAGUCAAGGGACCUGUUUUAUGACCCAGCAUAUCGGUAAAUUGGUGAGUAUUGGUAAAUAUUUUAUAUACACAUGAAAAAUACGUGCCCUGUCAGUUAAUACAGUUAUGUUAAAGUCUACCAUUAUCAUUUUGAAUAUGUUUAUCUACAACCAUAUAAAAAUAUUAAAAUAUGCAUUACUAUAUAAAAAUGUAAGUAUACUACCUUUCUUAUAUAGCAACUGUUACCUUUUUCUGUUUUUUCUUUAUCAUUUCUACAUUUAUAUUUUAUGUGUAGCAUAUGUUGUGUUUUACCUUUUCAUCUAUCCUGACAAUUUUUUAAUUGGGGUUUAUUCUCCAUUUAUUUAUAAUGCAAUUAAUGACAUAUUUAGUUUAAUAUCCCACCAUCUUAAUAUUUGCUUUCUCUUUUUCCCACCUGAUCAGUUCCUUUAUUUUCCUUUCACCUACUUUUGGGUUAAAUUCCCUACUCUCAGCCUGAAAAGCUCCCUUUACUAUUUCUUUGAGUAUGAGUUUGCCAAUGAAAAAUCUCUAUCAGUUUUUCUUUAUGUGAACAUGUCUUCAUUACACCAUCACUUUUAAAGCAUAUUUUCACUGUGUAUAGAAUGGCAUAGUAUGUGUAUAGAUUAACAAUUACUUUAUUUCAGCACUUUAAAGGUGUCAUUUCAUUGUUUACUGGUUUCUAAUCUUUCCUCUGUGAUUCUUUCCUCUCUAGGAUCUUAACCUGAAUAGCUCUCCACCACCUCCAAGUAGAUGGUUAUCAUAUUUCAUCCAUCUUUCCUAGCUACUUGCGGCAGAAGCAUUGUCUGCCACAAGCAUGGGUGCCCCUAAGUGGAAGUCUCCAAAGUAACCAUUCACUUACUUUAAAAAUGGGCCCCUUAAGGAACUUAAGUAUAAUGUUUUGAUUGUCAGGAAAUACACACUAAGCCAGCAACUCAGAGAGGAUACAAUCUGGGCUUCCACAUUACUUCUAAUUCCUUGUAUUGUAUCAUAACUAAUGUAUGUCUAUCAUUUCUUAAAGAUCAUAUAAAGUUUGUGAAAAAAUAAAAUUAAUAAAAUACCAUGUUUGCUCAUUGAGUUUUAGAAAAUUUUUUAGAAACAUUUAAAACAACUUUUUAAAAUGCUUAAUUAAAUGGAGAGUUUUAAAUGUACUUAAUAAAGAUAUCUUUUUUCUGACAUAUACAAGUAUGUAAGGAAUAAGACUGACUUGAAGCAUCACAGUGACAUAAGAAA
This 3070-nucleotide long non-coding RNA is filed under the name Homo sapiens (human). RNAcentral's name for it is "HSALNT0031960". Lineage: Eukaryota; Metazoa; Chordata; Mammalia; Primates; Hominidae. The record is from RNAcentral.